Drosophila willistoni is the source of this 728-nucleotide long non-coding RNA. RefSeq lists it as uncharacterized. The record is from RefSeq and is a predicted model, not a curated record. NCBI's taxonomy places the organism in Eukaryota, Metazoa, Arthropoda, Insecta, Diptera, Drosophilidae. The transcript is spliced from 2 exons.
AGUAUACUCCUACGAAAAGGUUUGAUGUUUUGAGUAGUUGGACUAUUUUUCUCCUAGUGCUUCAGUAAUGUCCUUUGAUGCUGUUAGUAGAGUUUGAUUGACUUUUAAACAAUUGAGUGGCAUUUUGAGUACUCCGGUUAAUGUUUUAAUAUCGGUCCAAAUUCUUUUUGGGACGCUGCUGGCGUUAUACGAGAUGUAAAAUCGGGGAGAGUGAUGUUUUUUUUGCUAGUUUAGCAUCUCUUUUAAAUUGAGCCUUUUCUCGCGGAGUUUGUUUAGUGGUAUUCCUUUGGUUUGUGGUAUGGAUAUACUUGCUGCUGCGGGAAUCGCUUUGGUUAAUUUGGAAACACCUUGGUGAAUGUUGCAAUAUCUAAAGUCUUUUACAUUAGUUGAUAACCUUUUUUGAAAUUUCGUCCAGUAAACAAUGUCUGUUUUAUAUUUAGGAAUAUGUGUGACUUUCUCGGUGUUUAAUUUUGUAAUUAUGGUAGUGGAUAUCGGGAAGUAAUCGCUUCCAUGUAAGUGAACAUGCUGCGUGUUCCUCUCCGCAGUUUGCGCACUGGGAUCGAAAGCAAUCGCUUGACGAAUGUGGUGGGACGUGACGAUUUGUUUUUUAUACACCUGCAAAAAUGGACUCUAAUAUAUUUAAACCAUACACCCAUAGGGUGAAAUGGUAUAUUUUUAAUUCUUAUCUGUAUUUUAGCUUAUACUUUUUCGUCGACUGCUGGUUAGUU